RNAcentral lists this ribosomal RNA (293 nucleotides) under Klebsiella pneumoniae. RNAcentral describes it as "partial 23S ribosomal RNA". It matches the Rfam family "Bacterial large subunit ribosomal RNA", at positions 2361 to 2653 of the family's 2925-position model. The record is from RNAcentral. Lineage: Bacteria; Pseudomonadati; Pseudomonadota; Gammaproteobacteria; Enterobacterales; Enterobacteriaceae.
AAGCUAGCUUGACUGCGAGCGUGACGGCGCGAGCAGGUGCGAAAGCAGGUCAUAGUGAUCCGGUGGUUCUGAAUGGAAGGGCCAUCGCUCAACGGAUAAAAGGUACUCCGGGGAUAACAGGCUGAUACCGCCCAAGAGUUCAUAUCGACGGCGGUGUUUGGCACCUCGAUGUCGGCUCAUCACAUCCUGGGGCUGAAGUAGGUCCCAAGGGUAUGGCUGUUCGCCAUUUAAAGUGGUACGCGAGCUGGGUUUAGAACGUCGUGAGACAGUUCGGUCCCUAUCUGCCGUGGGCG